Molecule: long non-coding RNA, 758 nt
Organism: Solanum tuberosum (potato)
Lineage: Eukaryota; Viridiplantae; Streptophyta; Magnoliopsida; Solanales; Solanaceae
Exons: 5
Source: RefSeq, a predicted model, not a curated record
CCAUAAAAGACACUAAUUCAAGGCAAUUUUCGUGAUCCCCAUUUUAAAAAAAAAUUCCCACACUAAUUAUCUAUCACCUUUCUAUCUAAAUCACCAAUUAGGUUUGAAAAUUUUGGAAAAUCUCUCUCCGCCACCGGCAAAGUCAUCCGGUCUUGUUGUCGUCGCCGCUGUAACAUCGCCGGCCACUAUUUCCCGUUCUCCUAAUCAACUCCAUUUGCUGGUGCAUCUUCACCAGUCCUUUCAAUUGUGGUGCUACCUCAAGGAAUUACAGAAUCACGUCUUCCAAAUUUGUUGCUACUACGACUGCCAUCAGAUCCCCAACGAGUUUUUACAUGCUGAGUACGGUGGUGUAGGAACAUUAUUGGUUGUUCCAUUCAUCGAUAUGGCAGAUACCAUAAACGAUAGGGGUUUACCAGAAUACAUUGCAUGGUUUUGGGAGAGAAGAUGGAGGAGGAAGAAAGAGCAAUAAGCAGAGCUACCAGACAAGUUACUGGAUCAUAAGGAGUUUACAACAUAGAAAUUUUGUUUUGUAUAAAUAAUACUAAUAAACUGUUUGUAAAAAUUAUUCAUUCAAUUAUAAAUGACACUUUCAAGGGGAAAAAAGAGGACGCUCAAGAAGUUAUUAGGAAUAUUCUUUGCUUUUGAAAUAUUAUACAUAAACUUCUGGACUAUUCAAUACUCUUCAGAUCUUUGUACAUGUGAGCUUUUUAGUGCACACAUCAGUACUUGUUCCUGCAAAUUAUCGUAAAGUGCACAGA